Podarcis raffonei (Aeolian wall lizard) is the source of this 323-nucleotide long non-coding RNA. RefSeq lists it as uncharacterized. NCBI's taxonomy places the organism in Eukaryota, Metazoa, Chordata, Lepidosauria, Squamata, Lacertidae. The transcript is spliced from 3 exons. The record is from RefSeq and is a predicted model, not a curated record.
GGCAACAAUAGGUGGAGCCAGAGUCAAUGGCAGACAGAGCCAACUCCUGAAUGGUUGUAAGAAGGCAGGCAGAUCAUUCCACUGACUAUAGUUGAUGGAAAAUGGUAAAUUCACCUGAGAAUGAGGGCUUCCUUCACAGUUAUUAAUUUUCAACUGAUUACAAGAUCCCCCCUGGCCGCAGCAGCUUCAUGUUGUUGAUCAGUGAAAAGUCUGAAAUACGUUCACACUGGGGGAGUGUCAAGGGUAACUGUAAAGAAGAGAGGUUCCUGCCCUGAGGAGCUUACUGUCUAAUGGAUGAAAGAGACAAUCCAUUAAAUGUGCGA